RNAcentral lists this ribosomal RNA (253 nucleotides) under uncultured bacterium. RNAcentral describes it as "partial 16S ribosomal RNA". It matches the Rfam family "Bacterial small subunit ribosomal RNA", at positions 524 to 776 of the family's 1533-position model. The record is from RNAcentral.
UACGGAGGGCGCAAGCGUUGUUCGGAAUUACUGGGCGUAAAGCGCGUGUAGGCGGCUUGGUAAGUCGGCUGUGAAAGCCCGGGGCUCAACCCCGGAGGGUCAGCCGAAACUGCAUCGCUCGAGUCCCGGAGAGGGUGGCGGAAUUUCCGGUGUAGAGGUGAAAUUCGUAGAGAUCGGAAGGAACACCAGUGGCGAAGGCGGCCACCUGGACGGUGACUGACGAUGAGACGCGAAAGAGUGGGGAGCAAACAGG